Molecule: unclassified non-coding RNA, 347 nt
Filed under: soil metagenome
Description: partial contains 5.8S ribosomal RNA, internal transcribed spacer 2, and large subunit ribosomal RNA
Rfam family: 5.8S ribosomal RNA (bases 1-120)
Source: RNAcentral
GAUGAAGAACGUAGCGAAAUGCGAAAAGUAAUGUGAAUUGCAGAAUUCAGUGAACCAUCGAAUCUUUGAACGCACAUUGCGCCCGCUGGAACUCCGGCGGGCACGCCUGUCCGAGCGUCAUUUCAACCCUCAGGCCCCCCUUCGCGGGCGGGCCUGGUGUUGGGGCCCGGCCGCUACCCUGCGGCCGUCCCCUAAAUCCAGUGGCGGCCUCGCCGUGAUCCCUUGCGUAGUAAUGCACCUCGCACCGGAGAGCGCCGUGGCCACGCCGUAAAACCCCCAAUUUUCAAUGGUUGACCUCGGAUCAGGUGGGAAUACCCGCUGAACUUAAGCAUAUCAUAAGCGGAGGA